This 345-nucleotide signal recognition particle RNA is filed under the name Nomascus leucogenys (northern white-cheeked gibbon). RNAcentral describes it as "Metazoan signal recognition particle RNA (ENSNLEG00000030818.1)". It matches the Rfam family "Metazoan signal recognition particle RNA". Rfam says of the family: The signal recognition particle (SRP) is a universally conserved ribonucleoprotein. It is involved in the co-translational targeting of proteins to membranes. The eukaryotic SRP consists of a 300-nucleotide 7S RNA and six proteins: SRPs 72, 68, 54, 19, 14, and 9. The record is from RNAcentral. Lineage: Eukaryota; Metazoa; Chordata; Mammalia; Primates; Hylobatidae.
GCCGGGCGUGGUGGUGCAUGCCUGUCAUCACAGCUACUCGAGAGGCUGAGGUGGGAGGAUCGCUUGAGCCUGAGAGGUUGAGGCUGCAGUGAGCUAUAAUGGUGCCAGUGCACUCCAGCCGGGGUGACAGAGCGAGACCCUGUCUCAAAAAAAAAAAAAAAAAAAGACAUAGGAAAUUCCAAUGGCCUCGUAAAGUUUUUAAUGAGAGGCAUAAAAAGUGAUUUUUUUUUCUUUUUUUUUUUUUUGAGACGGAGUCUCGCCCUGUCACCCAGGCUGGAGUGCACUGGCACCAUUAUAGCUCACUGCAGCCUCAACCUCUCAGGCUCAAGCGAUCCUCCCACCUCA